CUCGGGUAUGCGGAGGCUUUUACAUGCAAGUCGAGCGCCCCGCAAGGGGAGCGGCAGACGGGUGAGUAACGCGUGGGAAUCUACCCUUUUCUACGGAAUAACGCAGGGAAACUUGUGCUAAUACCGUAUACGCCCUUCGGGGGAAAGAUUUAUCGGGAAAGGAUGAGCCCGCGUUGGAUUAGCUAGUUGGUGGGGUAAAGGCCUACCAAGGCGACGAUCCAUAGCUGGUCUGAGAGGAUGAUCAGCCACAUUGGGACUGAGACACGGCCCAAACUCCUACGGGAGGCAGCAGUGGGGAAUAUUGGACAAUGGGCGCAAGCCUGAUCCAGCCAUGCCGCGUGAGUGAUGAAGGCCCUAGGGUUGUAAAGCUCUUUCACCGGUGAAGAUAAUGACGGUAACCGGAGAAGAAGCCCCGGCUAACUUCGUGCCAGCAGCCGCGGUAAUACGAAGGGGGCUAGCGUUGUUCGGAAUUACUGGGCGUAAAGCGCACGUAGGCGGACAUUUAAGUCAGGGGUGAAAUCCCGGGGCUCAACCCCGGAACUGCCUUUGAUACUGGGUGUCUAGAGUAUGGAAGAGGUGAGUGGAAUUCCGAGUGUAGAGGUGAAAUUCGUAGAUAUUCGGAGGAACACCAGUGGCGAAGGCGGCUCACUGGUCCAUUACUGACGCUGAGGUGCGAAAGCGUGGGAAGAAAAACAGAAAA
RNAcentral lists this ribosomal RNA (700 nucleotides) under Sinorhizobium medicae. RNAcentral's name for it is "bacterial SSU rRNA". It matches the Rfam family "Bacterial small subunit ribosomal RNA", at positions 30 to 780 of the family's 1533-position model. Lineage: Bacteria; Pseudomonadati; Pseudomonadota; Alphaproteobacteria; Hyphomicrobiales; Rhizobiaceae. The record is from RNAcentral.